AUUUGGAUUAUUUGCAAUAGUCAUACUUCUUAGGUUAGGUGGCUUUAUAUUCUCAAGAGGUACACUUUCAAUAGAUGUAAUGAUGUUUUUAUUUUUCAAGUUAUGUAACCUUAUUAUAUAGUUUUUUUCCCUUUUGAUUUCUUCUUGAAUUGAAACUGAUAAUAUUAAGAAAUGAUGGAUGUGUGCAUAGAAGGCAAUGAUAGAUGUCAACUGUUGUGACAUAUGCAUUGCUGCCAUUAUCUUAGUUCCAAUAUCAAUUAUUAGAAGUUAUUUAUUUUGUUUAUCAUGUCACAUGACAGGUAUUUCCUGUUGCUCAAAAGGAAUUUUGUGGAUUCAAUCCUUUUACAAGUAUGAACUCUCUCUCAUCUCUGGUCUUGAACUUGUUUGAGCGAGCUUGAAUACCCACUUUUCCUUUAUUCCUCGUAUCUCUUCCUUUAUUUUGGGUGCAAAAUAUACUAAACUGACGUGUUCAUGUUGUGCAGCAUUUGUGUGCUAUAGAAUUAUUUUAUANNNNNNNNNNNNNNNNNNNNNNNNNNUCUACACAAACUUAUAAGCUAUGUGGUUUGGUACAUCUCUCACUCUUCAUUCUCAAACAUAGGAAAUUCACACAAAGGUUCAAGUUAUUGACAUCUAUCUAGUCUCUUUUUAAUCCACACAAAGGUAAGCUCAAAUAUGCCUAUUUUGUCAAAUAACUUAUAAAAAUUAGUUUUGAUAAUAAUGUCUGUCUUGUAUUUGAUAACAUACCUUAAUUAAGAUAGUAAUGUGUUUACAAAUUAGUCUCAUCUGAUAUUUAGAUUUGGUUGGGUUGUUUAGUGUCAUGUUAUUUUGCAUUUGAAUUAUAUCUCUCAAUGCUACUACAUAUAUAGACCCUUAGUAAGUUGAUUAAUAUGUUUGAAUUAUAUCUUUCGUGAUUUUAGGCUUUACAAAAUGCUGCUUAUAAAGCUGAUUGGUAUGUUCUCAAUAUAGUGUGCAAUAUGUCACAAUCUACGGAAGUUGUUCAUGAGGUAAUUUUCCCCAAAUCCUAAGUAUUGUUGUCUCUUUUUAUGUAAACCUUUAUGUCACAAUCUAUUUAAAUUAGUUCACCUUUAAUGAACUUUUUCCUAACAGUGUUGGAAGAACUUCACAUGUCUAUAUAACUGGUUUAUAUAGAAUUGAAAGAGUUUGCAACUCUGCAUCAAUAUACUUUGUUGGAACUGAAGUUUUACAUUGACAAAAGUAUUUACUGACUAGACGUUCACAUUUGAUCAUAUUCAAUUUUAGAGCCAAAAGCAACAAAUAGUUAUGAGUGCAGCUAUUAUGUCAUGAUACACAUGUUGAACAUUGUAUCUACUGGUGUUGUUGGUUCAUGGACCUAAGUAAGUAAUAUAAUUUAUGUAUCAAGCUGUAUCAAUUGAUUAGUACUAUUGUUUAUCUAAUUGGUGUAAGAGAAAACAAGCUAUAGUACAUGACGAAAUUUGGAGACAGAUCUAAGUUUAAGUUUUUUUAUUCUUUUUGUCCAGGUACGGUUACAAUUUUAAUGAUAUGCAGUUGCCCCAGCACAUUAAGAAGGGAUAUGAAGUUUUUUCAAGACUUAGAAUAAUUCAUUAUUGUGUUGGUUCUCUCUGUGUUAGAAUUGUAAUUAGUUUGUAGUUAGUUACUUAUUUCUUCAUGAGUGAUAUUACCCCUUAAAUUAGUUUGUAAAUCUGUUCUUAUGUAAUUUAAAUUGGGGAAAUAAAUUACUCUCAUUUGGAUAUUUGGUUGGCAAAUGCAAAUCUACC
Molecule: long non-coding RNA, 1757 nt
Filed under: Trifolium pratense (red clover)
Lineage: Eukaryota; Viridiplantae; Streptophyta; Magnoliopsida; Fabales; Fabaceae
Description: long non-coding RNA (TPRA_LNC010133)
Source: RNAcentral